AGUCUGCUUUCCAAUUUUAAUCUAAUGCACCGUUGAGUUUCACCCUUUAACAUUUUAUUUUUAUGAUUCCUUUAACACGCACAAUAAAACAAAGUUUAAAGAACAUUCCCUAAAGCUUUAAAACAAAACGAAUGAAAGAUUUAUAAAUUUUUUUAUUGUUUAAAUCACUUUUCAUUGUUCCAGUUGCCCAAAUGGUUAAGCAAUGCACUUGACGCCAAGGUUGUGGGUUCAAAUCCCAAAGAGAACACCUAUGGGUUUGUUUUCUAAAUUUUGGAUAGAAAUGUCUGAGAUAUGCAACCAAUGUAAAUGUAAACGAAUUAAAACAGCUAGUUCAUUGCUGAGUUUCAGUAUCUUGUUUUCUCACAGGUCGUAUACCUUGAUUUACAAUGCAACCUCAGUUCUAACCCCAUCACUGCCAUCUCUGAAUAUUUCAAGAAUAAUCUGCUAAUGCUCAACUGACCCUUUUUAAAUUCUGCUGAACCCUGCAGUCCUGUCAGCUGACAAACAUAGACUUCCCAACCAUCAUGGAGGAAACACAGUGAAGGAAAUCCGCUGUUUUUCCUGUCAGGAAAAUAUGUUUUUCUCACCUUGCUCUAUCUAGCUAGAAGCUCUUUUAUGGUCGUAUCAAACCUCUCUCGCUGUGUUGUGAACCUGGUCAACAUGCGAAUACUUGAAAGCAAAUGAGAGCGAGACUCUGAAUAGAUUUUUGGAGAUGUUUUCAAGAGUUUGAGAGUUUCUGUUCUGUCCUGUGGCUAGAAAUUGUGUCUGGUCACAGGGGGAAGCUUUUUAGUUUGUGUUCCUUGCUUAUCUGAGGACUUGCAGUCAGGGAUCAAAUAUGUCUUAUCUUCUCAUUGUGGGACUCAUGGUACUGUGGAGUUCACAGCUUCAGUCGGCAUCGAAUCGUUGCGAUACACCCCACACAGUCCUGCACACAACUCCCUGCACGUCCUGUGCGGCUUCAACAGUUGUCGUCUGUCCACGAGGUUUCAGGAAAACAUCGAAGAACGCUGGGAACACUGGCUGCAGUUAUGUGGUGGAAAUAGGGGAUCGUCAGGUAGAGCUUCCUGGGUGCUUUCACACCUGCGAGAAAGUGACGACGGUCCAAAGGUGUUGUCCGGAUUUCUGGGGGCCCCUGUGCUUGCCUUGUCCUAGUUGGUCAGGAAAGACGUGUAAUGGUUAUGGCACAUGUCUAUCUGGUGACUCAGGGAACGGCACCUGUGUUUGUGAGGAGAGAUAUACUGGGUUUGCCUGCCAGAACUGUGUGAAUAAGAAUGCCUAUGGAUAUCACUGUCUUUCAGAGUGCAACUGUAUAAAUGGAAAGUGUAGCUUGGGACCAGACGGGGAUGGAGAAUGUUACUGCCAACCGCCAUAUUCAGGACCAAAGUGCGAUAAAGUUUCUUCAUCUUGUUCAAACUGUCCAGCAUACUCAUAUUGUAAGGGUGAUGACACAAACGCUGUAUGUGAGUGUUUGCCUGGAUACAAGAAGAUUGGACUCACAUGUAUAGGUAUGUGUACACCAGGCAUCUGUGACGUAAACGCAAAAUGUUCAUUCAGUGGUGGACAGUUUCACUGUAAAUGUGAAGACGGAUUUGUGGGCAACGGCAAACACUGCAUUCCCAUCAACCCCUGCGACACUGAUAAUGGAGGCUGUCCUAAAGACUCCACCGUCUGUGAAUACAUCGGCCCAGCCAAGUCGAAAUGUGUCUGUGUUCCCGGAACGGAGUCGUCCGAUCCUUCCAACGGUUGCACGGCAAAGUCAGUCUGCACGCCGAGUUCGUGCCACAACAGUGCUCGCUGUGAGACAAGCUCAGACGGCACGCACAGAUGCCUUUGCAAUGCUCAGCAGAUUGGCAAUGGCAGACGUUGCUAUGGUAACCUCAUGGAGAGAAUUCUGGAAUUGGAUAGAGACGGCAGUCAAGCAGCAAACCUCACUGGAAGCGUUAGACUGUUUGAACAAGGGUGUGAGUUUACUCUGAGUCAGCAUGGCCCAUUCACGGCAUUCAUUCCUGUAGGACAGAAUCCUUUCAAAACAGUUUUAGGCAAAUCCUCGUCCGUUGUGAAUGCAGUGUGCAAACAUCACCUUAUACUCGGACAGAGACUUUACAAAGAUCUGGAGGGGAACGAUCUGUGGACUUACGGAGGGGAAAAGAUCAGAUUCAAAACAAAAAAGCAAUUCAUAUUGAUACGGGAUCCAGAUGUGUUGUUUACAAUACUUGAGAGUGACAUCCCUGCAUCCAAUGGAAUAAUUCACAUUAUUGACAAGCCUUUUACUCUUGCUCAUGUCGAAUCUUCUAACAACAACAUGGAGUUUUCCUCCAAAACCAUUGGGGAGGUUUUCAGAGAUGAUGAAAGAUUCAAUCGAUUCCUGUCUCUAGUUGAUAAUUGUGGAGCUCUGUUGCCUGUGAGGGGUUCAGGUCCACUGACAGUGUUUGUUCCAACCAACAAAGCCAUAGACAAAUUCCGAGAUGGAAGUCUUAUGUAUAUGCUCAAUGAUGCCAAACCAAAGCUUCAGAUGCUUUUGAAACACCACAUGUUCUCGCUGGCUGCUAUCACUGUGGACCAGCUUGCCAGUAUGUCUGAGAUUACGACCAUGGCCAAUGAGAUCUUAACAAUCAAUGUCUCCGGGGAUGGACGAGUCUAUCUGGGUGAUAAAGGAAUACCACUCGAAACAAAAGACAUUGUUGCAUCGAAUGGAAUCAUUCACCUGAUUGAUGGAGUUCUUCUACCAUUCUCUAUAGUUCCCAUAAUGCCUCAUCGGUGUGACAUGAAUGAGAGUAGGAUCAUUGUGGGUCCUUGUGUCAGAUGCAGCAAUCUCUAUAAGACACAAUGUCCACCUGGAACUGUUGAGCUGGACAGUCAUCUGAGAGACUGUGAGCAAAUUCCGUACGCAUUUAUUGGGGCUGGCUGUGCCAAAUACUGCAACUCUACUCAAAUGCGAGCAGAGUGUUGCAGUGGUUUCUAUGGGCCAGACUGUAAACCCUGCCUUGGAGGUUUCCAGCACCCUUGUUAUGAUAAAGGGACUUGUUUUGAUGGAAUUGCUGGAAACGGCUCGUGUAAGUGUGAACCGGCGUUUAAAGGCAUUGCCUGCCACAUCUGCGCAGACCCAAACAAACAUGGAGAGAACUGUGAUGAAGAUUGCCGCUGUGUUCAUGGCAUCUGUGAUAACAGGCCUAGCAGUAUGGGGGUGUGCAGAAGAGGUUCAUGUCUGGCGGGAUUUUCAGGGGAACUCUGUGACCAGACCACCACCCCCUGCAAUUCAGAUGGUGCUUUUGAGCACUGCCACAUCCACGCUAAAUGUGUCUACAACAGUGGUCAAACCAUGUGUGUUUGUCUGCCUGGAUAUGAAGGGGAUGGUUACACCUGCACUGAAAGCAAUCUGUGCCUCAAAGUUGACAGAGGAGGCUGCCACAUCAAUGCCGAGUGUAUAUAUGAAGCAGGUAAGGUCAGCUGUGUUUGUAUGGAAGGUUGGACAGGCGAUGGAACAUUGUGUGUGCAGAUCAAUAACUGCAUGCUGGAAAAUCGUGGUGGAUGUCAUGAAAAUGCAGACUGCAUACCCACUGGGCCGGGCCAGAAUGGAUGUAGCUGCAAGAAAGGCUUCAUGGGAGAUGGCGUCGUCUGUCAAAUAGUCAACCCCUGUCUGACAAAUAAUGGAGGCUGCCAUUCUCUGGCAGUGUGUAAAUUGAAUAAGGACGCAACGCGUGACUGUACAUGCCCAAGUGGAUACGAAGGCGACGGAAUUAUAUGCUAUGGAAGCAUACUUGUGGAGCUAGAUGGAAACUCUGAAUAUUACAAUUUUAAUCACCUUCUUGAAAGACACAUGGUCAUUGACAGUGACAGCAAAGUGACGGCUUUAGUUCCAUCUAAAAGUGCUUUCAGAAACCUCAGCCUUUCGAAAGAGUCAUUUUGGAUCGAUAAUUACAGGCUGCCUCACCUUCUGCAAGUUCAUUUUCUAGAUGGGAUCUACACCUCUGAAGACUUGAAGAAGCAAGUCGGUAAAACAGUCCAAACCAUCGGCAAGACUAAAUGGGAGAUCCAAAGCAAAGGCAGGGAGCUCAUGAUCAGCAAUGCUACAAUUCUAGUUCCAGACAUAAAGGCAAUCAAUGGAUGCAUUCACAUCAUUGACACGGUUCUUCAGCCACCGCUAUCUGAUUUCCCGCCACCUCCUCCCAGUCUGAUGGAAGUCCUGAAUAACACGCCAACAUUCAGCCUCUUCACGAAGGCGGCACUGAUCUACAACUUGUCAGACAGUAUCCCAACUAGAGAUUACACCAUUUUUGUCCCAUAUGACAGCGCCGUACAGGAGUAUCUGAAUAAAAUGAACUCUACACAACUGCCCAAAGACAUUGUGAAAUAUCACGUGAUUUUAAGGGAGCAGCUCUUUCCUGAGCACUUGGGCGAUGGACUCUUCAAACCCACAUUUUUGGGAAAUGGCACUCAAAUCAUGUUUUAUGUGGACAGUGAAAAUCAGACUAUGGCCAAUGAUGUCCCCAUAAAUGGAAGUUUUAUUGAGACGAGGCAUGGCAUUGUGUUUGGCAUCCCACGUGUAUUAGAGAUCCACAAGAACCACUGCAGUAAAGAUGUGAUUUUGAAAACCUAUGGUCGAUGUGGAGAUUGUAACGAAGCACCUAAAUGCAUCUCUGACGCCAAACCCAUGCAGUCAAAGUUCCCUCCAUAUAUGAAGUCAAACUGUAGAUACAGGACAAGAGUUGGGAAGAAGAUAAAGACUGUGCCGGGCUGUCUUAUGCGCUGUUUGAAAACAACAAAGGACCACUCUUGCUGUCCAGGAUACUUUGGGCAUGAUUGCUUCAAAUGUCCUGGGACUGUGGACAACUGGUGCUCCAACAACGGUCGAUGCUACGACGGUCUGUACGGCAGUGGGAAGUGUAUAUGUAAUGAGGGCUUUCAUGGAACUGCCUGUGAGAUGUGUGAACCUGGCAGAUAUGGAAAAGACUGCAAGUCAGAAUGUCACUGUGAUUAUGGCAAGUGUUUGGACGGUAUGGAGGGAAAUGGACAGUGCAUUUGUUUAAAAGGUUGGAAGGGAGUGAAUUGUUCUGUUGCAGUCGUUAAUGAUGCCUGUGAUGGAAUUUGUGAUGUCAAUGCCAAUUGUAUUUCAGGAACUCCUUCAACAUGUUCUUGUACGGCUGGUUAUAAGGGCAACGGAACGUUCUGCAAAGAAAUUGACCGGUGUGCCACAAACAAUGGAGGGUGUUCAACAUACGCAAACUGUAUAAAAACUUUGCCUGGUGAAAGAAAUUGCAAAUGUAUCAACGGCUACACGGGCGAUGGUGUUGUUUGUCUCGAAAUUGAUCCUUGUUUAGUGGACAAUGGCGGAUGUGAUCAUAAUGCUUUAUGCAUGAAAACUGGGCCAAACAGGGUCGCGUGCACUUGCAAGCUUGGUUUUAUUUCCCGUGGUCAUAGAUGUCUGGCAGUUAAUCCAUGUUGGAAGAAUAAUGGUGGUUGCAGUCUUAAUGCUGCUUGCAAAUACCUCGGCGAUGGGGAGCGCAAUUGCACGUGCUAUAUUGGCUUCAAAGGCGACGGUUUUCAGUGCGUAGGGACUGUCAGUAGAGAACUUCUGCACAAACCCGAGGCUGCAUGGUUACAAAGAAAUUUUGCCGUAUCAAAAGUCAGAGAUUUAUUCAGUUCAGGGUCUUUCACUGUGUUUGUUCCUCAUGCUGACUACGCUGAUAACGUCACGAUUGAAGCAUGGGUAAAUAAAAGCUACGUUCCAGAUCUGAUGAGGUACCACAUUGUUGGUUGUGAAGUACUGCGUGAAUCUGACCUGAAGUCCGUUAAAGAGGUGGUCACCAGUAGCGGGUAUAAAUUACGCUUCAGUGUCAGAGAUGGUGUCGUGUACAUCAACGACAAUACGAAGAUCAUCACGAGUGAUUACGAGUGUUCCAAUGGAGUCAUACAUUUCAUAGACAAGGUCCUCUUUCCGUACCAACUGACGGACCAGAUGGCAGAAAUCAACACUGAUUUGAAUGUUACUGCAGCUGCUGAACAAUAUGGCUUCAAAAUCUUCAGUAAGCUUCUACAGGAUGCGGAAAUGAUGCAUGUGGUGCUACAUCGACCCUUCUACCCUUUCACCAUGUUCUGGCCGACAGACGAUGUUUUCAACAAUCUCCCUGAGGAGAGAAAAACGUGGCUGUACAGUGAAGACCAUCGUGACAAACUACAAGCCUACCUCAAAGCUCACAUAGUUCACGACCAGAGGACUGUUGCUGUCACUCUUCCUUCUGAGAAAAAAGUCAAAACGUUGUUUGGAACCGAGCUCACCUUCAGCUGCAACAAAGAUUUAAUUGGCGACAUAUUAAUCGGUGGAAAUAAUGCCAGAAUCAUAUCGCGAAACAUGCUGUUUGAUUCUGGAAUCGCUCAUGGGAUCGACCAGCUUCUGGAGCCUCCGAGCAUUGGCGCUCGCUGUGAUGACUUCGAAAGCACAGGGAUAAAGGGACUUUGUGGUUCUUGCACUGAGCCACCACCAUGUCCCCUUGGAGCUGAAGACACAAACAGAACUGGCAUUUGUAGACGACCCUAUAUGCCUUACAUGUAUAGACAGCUCUAUCCUAUGACACACAGUUAUUACGAUAUUCACUCAUAUGGUUAUGGAUACAACUCCUAUAGUAAUUGGCUUGGCUGUGUUCGUAUCUGUACAAAAAUGGUAUGGACUUUCAAGUGCUGUAAAAACCACUAUGGAAGAGACUGUCAAGUGUGUCCUGGCGGUCUGGAGGCACCGUGUGGCGAGCAUGGCGACUGUGAUGACAGCCAUCUCGGCACAGGGAGAUGUAAAUGUCACACAGGUUUUGCAGGCACAGCUUGUGAGCUGUGUGAAAAGAAUCACUUUGGGCCAAACUGCACAGCAUGUAACUGCACCAGCAAUGGCAAGUGUGAUGAUGGUCUAGAUGGUAUCGGUAGCUGUUUCUGUCAAGAGGGAUGGACGGGCAUAAGUUGCGAAGCAAAAAUCGAAGUCAAGCCGGUCUGCUCUCCAGUGUGUGAUCUCAACGCGGUAUGCCUCCCAGAAAAUCAGUGCGAGUGCGUACCACCCUAUGAAGGAAAUGGCAUCAACUGCACUGGUGUGUUCUGGAUAGCAUCUCUUGUAUUACAUUAUGUCCAAACCAGACAUGGUGCAUAAGGCAACAAGUGAUAAAAGUCCCCAAAAAAAGAGGCAGUUCAGACCGAAUGCGCUUUUGCGUUAAAAAUAGCCAGACCGCAGCGCAAUGAAAGCAACAGAAUGCAUGUGUCUCGAGACUCGUUUUUUAAAAGUUCAAGUUUUUUUAAACAUGGCAGGCUCUAACCAGACACAGUGCAUUCAGACUGCAGGUGCUUUCACUUUAAAAAUAGUCAGAACGCAGCGCAACGAAAGCAACAGAACGCAGGUGUCUCAAGAUUAGUUUUUUUUAACCCUUAUGUUGUGUUUUUAUUUUAUUGUUUUAUAUUUUACAAUUUGUUUUUUUUUACUUAAUCCAAUUGGAAUCAAAUUCAUUGUCUUCGUUCAAAUAUCCAUUUUCUUUACAUUUUCUUGGUUUCAUUUCAAUUUGUUACACCUGUUGUGUUCCCAGUCAAAAGGCCGUGGCUACAAAAAAUGAACAAAGAAAAAAUAAGUGUUCAGGAGCCUGUCCAACCAUCUGAUGAGCACCUACAGUAUGUGCAUGUGUACUUACACACAUAAAGUCCUCGGACAUGUGUACACACUCGUAUACACACCCAUACGCACACCCACAUACAUACACUCACACAAACACACACACAUACACACAAAAACAGUUCGUUUUUUUUUUAACAUGGCACGCUCCUGUGCUGACGCUGAAAAAACAGCAAGACGCGGCACAACAAACACAUGUUUAGCGCACGUUUACAUUGAAAAACUAUUUAUAAACGGACAUUAAAAAACGCUCUGUGUUAACAUCCCCUGAGUUUGUUUAUCUGAGUCUUAAUCAUCCAUGACGAGUGAAUGGACAUUUUAACUGGACAUUUUUAGCACAUGUUUACGGAUGCAAAAACACGUUUUGUUUGAACAUCCCCAAAGUCUUUUAGUCCAAAUCAGCCAUAACCCAGAUGAGUGACAGGACAUUUUGUCGAUUGCUUGGUUUCUGUUUUGGCAGUGUAACGAAAAGAGGUGUCUGGAGAUGCGUUUUUUUUAGAUUAAAAUGUUUUUAUUUGUUGAUUGUCAAACAAAAUACAGAAUAUAGCAAAGUGUACAUGUAUAGAGUCAACCGUUAUCCCCCAUUAAUUCCCCAUCCCCCUCCUAGUCCCCAAACCCCAACAAACAUUCCCGUGGUCUGUGCCUGAGUAUAGACAUAUAAACACAAAGAAGAAGGAAAAAAACUUUCUCUCCACAUGUUCCUCACCGAUAGCCUUCCUGAAAGGUAAUGUAUUUGUCCCAUUUCUUACCAUAUGCAUCUAAUCUGCUAAACUGUUUAUAUGACAUCUUUUCCAAUGCUGCCACCCUGCCCAAUCGGUGAACCAUUCUUGAAAUGAGGGAGUGCCAAUUGACUUGCAUCCUCUAAGAAUUAUCUGUCUGCUAAUCAUUACACUAGUUUGGACCCAGCUUUUUGUAUAUUUGUCACCAACUUUAAUAACCACCCCAUUACCCAAUAUACAUAGACUGGAGCAAAGUGAAAUUUGAGUAUCUAAAAUCUCACAGAUAAAAUUCUGGUGUCACGUUUAUGUGUUUUGUUCUUGUUUUCAUGUCUUUUAUUUUAAAGUUUAAUUCCUGUUCCUAUUCAGGUCAUGUGGUGUCAUGUCAUGUGAUUUCUUGUUCCCUCAUGUGAUCUUGUCAUGUGUUUCCCCUGUUCAUGUGUCUUGUUUUCAUUGGUUCAUUGUUUUGUUACCUUGUUAUCAGUCUUGUCUUUUCAUUGGUUAAAGUUCAUUUAGUCUUGUUAUCUUGUUUAUAGUUUAGUCUUGUGAUUGGUUGUCUUGUUUACCUGUUACCCAUGUCCUUGUAUUUAAGCCCUCAUGUUUGCCAUUGUGUAUUAUCAGGUAUUGUUUGUGAAUGUAUCUUUGUUGGUUCUAUGGUCAAAGUUAAAGUCAAGUCUCGUCUAAUAGUCUACCAAGUCAUGUCAAGUUUAGUUAAGUCAAGUUCAUGUAUAGAGUUAGGGUUUCAGGAUAUCACGAUUUAUAAUAAACUGCACCUGGGUUCCUAUAUCAUCAUCGUCUCCGUCUGCCUGUCAUUGCUGAGCUUCGUUACAGAAUACCUGACUGACACAAGAUGAACCCAGCAGUUCAGCUCAUUCAUCUAUGCCAGGGGAAUUGUCUCCUGGAGGAUUAUGUAGAGGAAUUCUGCGCUCUGGCCUGCAGGGUGGAUUUUAAUGAGGUGGCCCCCAAGGACUGUUUCCGUUUUGGGCUGAAUGAGCCGGUUUCCUCUCUGAUGCCUGACAGUCGGUGUGCCGACGGCCUUGCUUGGUAUAUCGACCUUGCCCUAAUGAUGGGUGGUUCACCAUUCACUGUAGGGGAGACGGUUAAUGAGCCAGCACCCAUGCCUGCCACGGUUAACAAGCCAGCGCCCAUGCCUGCCACGGUUAACGAGCCAGCGCCCAUGCCUGCAACGGUUAACGAGUCCGAGCCAAUGCCUGUAGCCUCGACCGUCCCAGAGCCAAUGCCUGUAGCCUCGACCGUCCCAGAGCCAAUGCCUGUAGCCUCGACCGUCCCAGAGCCAAUGCCUGUAGCCUCGACCGUCCCAGAGCCAAUGCCUGUAGCCUCGACCGUCCCAGAGCCAAUGCCUGUAGCCCCGAUCAUCCCUGUAACCACGCUCCCAGCUGUCUGGAAAAGGAGGAGAAGGAAAAGGACAUCUUUUCCCCAGUCUCUGCCAGUGUUCACGACCACGGAGGUUGUUCCAGAGUCUCUGCCAGUGUUCAUGACAACGGAGGUCGUUCCAGAGUUUCUGCCCGUGUUUGCGACCACGGAGGCCAUUCCAGAGUCUCUGCCAGUGUUCACGACCACGGAGGUCAUUCCAGAGUCUCUGCCCAUGCUCAUGACCAUUGAGGUUGUUUCCCAGUUAUCCAAGACUCUUAGCCUCGAGCCUCCCAUGGCUCCGCCUUCCACGGCUGCGCCCCUCGAGCCUCUCACGGCUCCGCCUUCCACGGCUGCGCCCCUCGAGCCUCUCACGGCUCCGCCUUCCACGGCUGAGCCCCUCGAGCCUCUCACGGCUCCGACUUCCAUGGCUGCACCCCUCGAGCCUCUCACGGCUCCGCCUUACACGGCUUCGCCCCUCGAGCCUCUCACAGCUCCGCCUUACAUGACUUUGCCCCACGUCAUGGCCGCCAAACCAGAGUUCCAAGUCAUGGCCACCAAGCCAGAGUUCCAUGUCAUGGCCGCAUCGUUGUUGGUUCUAUGAUCAAGUCAAGUCAUGUUUAUGUUUUGUUUCAUAGUCUACCAAGUCAUGUCAAGUUUAGUUAAGUCAAGUUCAUGUUUAUGUUUUGUUCACGUUUAGAGUUAGGGUUUCUGGAUAUCACGAUUUAUAAUAAACUGCACUUGGGUUCAUCACACAUCAUCAUUAUCAUCAUCUUUGUCAUUGCCAGCAUCAGCAAUGUUACAUCUGGACUCUUGCCCAGAAUUCUUGAAUCUUAGCACAGAACCACAGAGCAUGGGCCAUGUCUCCAUCCACCAACUGACAUCGCCAGCAGUUAGGUGUGUCUUUUAAACCAAACCUAAAGAGGGAGUCCAGUAGAAACGAUGCAAAAUCUUAAACUGAUUAAGGCGUACCCUUGCAUCCCUAGACAUAGUUUUUACAUUUUUUAAAAUACUUUCUCACUCCCCAUCCUCCAAUACCAAGUUCAAAUCUCUUUCCCAUAACUUCUUAAGAGCUGUUAAGGCCCCGUCACCAAGACUCUGAAUCAAUGAAGUAUAAUACACUGACGCUUCAUGCCCCUUUCCAAACCCUGUGAGCACAAUACAGAGAGUGUCUGCAGCUUUAGGGGGUGUGUACUGCCACCAAAAAUAGUACAAAGUAAAUGGUGCAACUGUAAAUACCGGAAAAAUUGAGACCUAGAAAUCCCAAAUUGCUGUGUUAUAUUUUCAAAUGAUCUCAAAGCUCCAUUUUCAUAAAGGUCACCAAGUGUAGCAACACCCCUCUCAGUCCAUUCUUUAGAGCAAAAGGGGGACUUGUUAAUACACAAUUUGGGGUUCAGCCAUAUGCUUGAGGAAACAUUUAGGUAAGUAUCAAAAUUGAACAAAUGGGAAACCUUUGUCCUUACUGAAUGUAAGUGUGAAAUAAUGGGAUGCAUUUUUACUUCUCCAGGCAGUUAUAGAAAGAUUUUGCAAUGGCAAGAUUGGGGCAAGGACCAUUUGUUCAAUGCAGUACCAGGGAGGGGCUCUCUCAGGUGGAAGAAAACAAUGGGCCAAGUGUCUAAGAUUAAAAGCAUAGUAAUAAAACAAAGUUUUGGGGAGGCCUAAACCUCCUUUGUCAAUUGGUCUAUGUAACUUACUGGAAUGCAUCCGAGGUCAUUUACCAUUCCAAAUAAAGGACUUAUAUAUUCUAUCAAAUUGUUUAAAAUAAGAAAGUGGAACUUCUAUGGGGAGAGGCUGUAGUAGAUAAUUGAAUUUUGGGAUACAAUUCAUUUUUAAAUCAUUGACCUUCCCUGCCUUAGACAAAUGUAGUGAAGCCCACCUAUCCACAUCACACAAGAACCUUUUCAUUAAUGGGUCAAAAUGAACUAAAUCUCUCAAAUUUGCUGGAAAUAAAAUGCCUAAAUACUUAAUGCCUUGCUUGGGUAUUCUUGAUGUAACAUAAUGCUUGACAGCCCCAAUCAGCUGUGCGCUUUCUACACUGUGAAAGAGACCCCACCACACACACACACACACACACACACACACACAAAUACACGCACAUACUCAUAGUGACGUCACCGCAAAACACAUGUGUCAAACUCGCUUCAGUUCAAGUGGCCCGCAAGCUCAAUUCUGAAGUGCAGGAUGGCAGGGGAUCGCAACGUUUCACUGAACAAUCAGUUAGCGUUUUCCUCGUAAAUAUUAAUGAGCCUUCCACUGUCAUCUGUAUGAUUUGCAGCACAUUUUGCUCACUUCAAAAGUGGAAUGAAACAGCGCUACAUGGAUCAAUUAUCAACACAGCUUAAUCAUAGCAGCACGAGUGCAGAGCAGGUGCAGUAAUUCAAGGACUGGUCUCAACUGCACAGACUAUUUUAAAUGCGCUUGUUAAUCAGGGAGAUGUGCGGCGGGGAUUGCAAAACUCGUUUGAAUGUGGUACAGAAUUGUCUGUAGCAAAACUCUUAUGUCUCGGUGAUAAAACUAGUUUAAAAUAAACAGCCAAUACUUUCUAAAAGGCACUGUCAAAGAAAACAGGAGAAAACAGAAAUUAGAAGUCUUUUCCAUUCUCAAAUCACAACACUUACAAAAAUGUACCAUGGAUUUACUGUAGUAACACUAACUGUACUGUAUUAACUAUAGUAGUUGUAGCAGAAAAAGUUUCUAAAUGUAUUUAGGCUGCUGUUUUUUCAUUACAAAAAUGCCAUAGUUCUUUAUAUAGAAACCAUAGUUAAUAAUCAUGGUAGUGAGGAGCCAUGCAUGGUUUUACCUAUGGUUACCAUGGACUUAUUACAAAUAUCAUUGUUAAAACUAUGGAUAUUAUGGAAGAACUAUGGUGCAUUUUCAUAAUUAUGGAUCAAACUAUCAGUUUUCCAUCUGUGUAAAAUCUGUUCUCUUGUAAUGCUCUCUGAUUGUUUUGUUUGCCUUCAGAAAUUCCAAGACAUGACUAUAGUUUAAUCAGUAGGAGCCUGAUGAAAGGAAUCUGUAAAGACCCAACUUAAUCACACUGUCAGAAUAUUUAAAUGUAGCAAUAUAAAAAUGAGGUGUUUAUUUUUUCCACAGAUGUUACUGUUGUUAAUAUCAUAAUUUUCAUCUGCACCCCGACCUCAAUAUCAAUGCUGUAUUGUCAAAUGUGCAAUAACAUCUUCAAUGCACAUAACAUGUAAUAUUAUUGGUAAUUGCAUGAGUGCUACCAAAGCAGGUGCUGGUACCACAUUUUCAAUGGGCCCUUUGAGGGCACAAAUAAACUGUGAUGUGGCCCAGGCUGAAAAUGAGUUUGACACCCCUGUUUUAAGCUAUUUCUCGGCCAAUAUGUGUUAAUAUGGGUCCGGCAUCACAGGCUUGUGGACGUGCUCACAUCAGCACUGCUGCUGAAAAAAUCCUAGAGGAAACGCUGUAUCAUCUGCAUAGAGUAGAAGUUUAUGUACCACACCUCCUGCUACAACACCAGGAAAAUCAUCCUCUUUUGUUAUUGCGGCUGCUAAUGGUUCCAGGGCAAGACAGAACAAUAAAGGGGAGAGAGGACAGCCUUGCCAGGUUCCCCUACCAAGAGAAAAAUUAUCUGAAAUUAAUCCAUUAGUUUGCACUGCUUAAUCCACCCAAUAUAAAUGUUCCCAAACCCGUAAAUUUCCAAAAUCUUAAAAAGAUAGUCCCAUUCCACCCUAUCAAAUGCCUUGUUGGCAUCAAGUGAUAUGGCAGCGAUCGGGGUCUGAUCAUUCACUACUGACAACAUCAUUUUUAUAAAACGUCUAAUAUUAUCAGAAGAACUACAACCAUGCUAGGACCAUGCUUGUUAAGCGCGACCCCGCAGAGAUCUAGCGUGUGUGGAGCCUUCACGCUAUUCUCCGCGGCAUCCACGCACAACUCACCACGUGCCCCACCGAGAGCGAGAACCACAUUAUAGUGACCACGAGUAGGUUAACCCAACGUGACUCUACCCACCCUAGCAACCAGGCCAAUUGGUUGCUUAGGAAGCCUGACUGGAGUCACUCAGUAUGCCCUGGAUUCGAACUUGCGACUCCAGGUGUGGUAGUCAGUGUCUUUACUUGCUGAGCUACCCAGACCCAGUUCACCUUUCUUUAAUGACUCUGUGUAAACUUCCAACAUAAGUGGAGCCAGUUCUAUGACAUAAGAACUAAAAAAUUCUGCUGCAAAAUCAUCUGGCCCCAGUGCCUUACCUGUUAGCCAGGCUUUAAUUACCUCAACAAGAUCCUCCAAAGUAAUAUCUGAGUCGAGAGAGUUUUUAUGAUCACUCGUCAAUUUAGGAAGUUCUAAUGGCUCUACGAAGUUGCUAAUAUCCUUAUCAGUAGACGAAGAUGUGGAACUAUAAAGAUCGAAAUAGAAUUCUUUAAAGGCUUUAUUAAUAUCAGAGGCAGAAAUAAAUAUAUUGCUUCCAGAAGACUUCACUGAAGGAAUGGUGGAAAAAAACUCUAACUGUUUUAUGUAUCUGGCAGGAUGUGUCCCUGCUUUGUCCCCCGACUCAAAGUAUGUCUGUCUUGCCCUUAAUAACCAAAACUCAAUCUUCUGUGACAGAAUAGUAUUAUACCCAUAUUUUAGCUGAGUCAACUCUCUAAGACCAUUGGAUGACAUUCGGCACUUCAGCUUUGUUUCAGCACUUUUAAUAUUCUAUGUGCUUUGAUCUUUUUAAUGAAGGAGGCAUAUUGUAUGAUCCGCCCCCAAAGAACUGUCUUAAGCACCUCCGAUGCCACACCCACAGAGGACACUGAGGACCAGUUGGUUUCUACAUAAACAUUGACUUCUGUCUUUAACAUUUGUUGAAAUUCAGGUUCUUGUAGAAGGGAUGUAUUAAAGUGCCAUCUGUAUGAUUUUCUUUUCUCUAUAUGCGGCUGUAACAGUCUAAGGACAGGCAAGGAGGAGGCGGGAACCAGCUUAACACGUCUCCGGCUGCCCCUUUAUCUUGCUCUCCCGCUGAUCAGCUGGUUCAGUGCCGGCCGUGCUCCAUCAUGGCCUGGCCAUGCCCACCUCCUCAUCACACACCUCCCCUGCCCGAUUCAGGCCGGGGUGCCACCGGUCUGACUAACUCCCCCCCCCAUCUCUGGGGGGGAGACGCUGCCCUUCCAGCCCUCCUGUCAGCUGGUGGCCCACCCCGCCUCCUGUGGACCUGGGGGGAGAGACGAGGGGAGGCAUGGGGAGAGGGAAAGGGCGAGCGGAGACACACACAGGGAGAGCAGAGAGAGACGAAGAACUUGCUCGCUGGCUCCCGGACGCACUGUUGCCCGGUCCUCAACCACUCUUCCACUGUCUGGCAGGUGCCAACUCGCUCCUCCCCUGGCAGAUGGAACUGCUCCUCCCCUUCUUGGCAGACGCCAGCAGUUCCUCCGGCUCUCGGCGGCUGCUCCCCUGGCGGAUGGCAGUGGCAAGGACUUCACGACAGCGCAUCCCUCCUCCCUUCCAGAUUUCGGCACCACUGUAACAAUAUAAAGAUGGGCAAGGAGGAGGCGGGAACUGGAUGAACAGUAAACAUAAACUUUAAUGGUAAACUUAAAACUAACAUAAACAAACGUGCAGCGCGGCCGCGUGCAUCUCUCUCUCUCGAACCGGCGUCUCCGGCCACCCCUUUAUCUCGCUCUCCCACUGAUCAGCAUGCUUCAUCAUGGCCCGGUCAAGCCCUCCUCCUCGUCACACACCUCCCCCGCCCAAUUCAGGCUGGGGCGCUGCCUCUCAAACCGGCGUCUCCAGUCACCCCUUUAUCUCGCUCUCCUGCUGAUCAGCUGAUUCAGUGCUGGACGUGCUCCAUCAUGGCCCGGCCACGCCCUCCUCCUCGUCACAGUGGCAACAUCUCUAAACACACCAAAGCAUGAUCUGAAACUAAAAUGUUCCCAAUUGAGCAGUCAGUGGUAGAUGUAAUAAGUGACUUAGAUUCUUAUGAACUGAUGAAAAAAGGUGUGGUCCCACCCAGAUUGAUUCAGAAGUCUCCAUAUGUCUGUAAGACCAAGAUUUUUACACAUCUUCUGUAGUGUCAACAUUGCUCUAAAGGGUCUACACAUUUUUGCUUCACUAUGAUCAUGGACUGGAUCCAUUAAAAGAUUUAAGUCUCCACCCAAAACCAUAUCAUGAAGGAUCCCAGCGGCUUGUAGCUUCCCCUCAAGAUCUAUAAAAAGUUCUAAUCAGCAUUGGGUGCAUAAAUAUUAUCCAAAUAAGGUUUUGCCCCUGUAUUUCAGGCAAAAUAAUAAUGACUCUUCCUAAAUUAUCUUUGAUCUAUUUGAGACAUUUGAAUUGUAAAUGCCUACCUAUCAAUGUGAUGACUUCCCUGCUCUUACUUGAACAAGCAUUGCAAAACACAUGCCCAAACUACCAAGUUUUUCAGCUUCCUGUAAAGAAAGGUGCAUUUCUUGAAGGAACACUACAUCAUAUUUUUUAUGCUUUUUUGUAAUUAAAAUAUUUUAUUGAUUCAAAGAGAAAGCACAACAGAGAAAAACACAACAUAUACACACCAGAAUCAACAUUUAACUUUUAACACUCAUUAACAUCCCUCCCCAAACACCAACCCCACCCUACCCCAAAGAACACCCCUGUGGUCACAUAAAAUAAUACACAAUAUUAUUUUAAAUAUAUAAUAUAAAAUAUAUAAAAUAAUUUUUUUUUCCCUCUCAUUUUCAGCAUAAACCUCAAAAUGUAUGCUUAAAACAAUAAAAAAAAAAAAAAAAUAUAUAUAUAUAUAUAUAUAUAUAUUUCAAAUUUGAGUGCCCAGAAUGUCAUGCAAAUAAUUCUGAAUCUUUAACCAAAAAUCUUGGAUCUUAAUGCAUCCCCAAAAAAUAUGGGCUAUGUCUCCAACUUCUGAUUGGCAUUGACAGCAGGUGGGUGUGUCUUUAAGACCAAGCCUAUAUAAUCUAGAGGGGGUCCAAUCAAAUCUUUGUAAAAUCUUAAAUUGCAUAAGGCGAACCCUUGCAUCUCUAGAUGCAGACUUGACAUUUUUCAGAAUCUUAGUCCACACUCCAUCCUCGAAUACCAAAUUCAAAUCUUUCUCCCAUAAUUUCUUAAUAGAAGUUAAAGCUCCAUCCCCCAUACUCUGAAUAAACAGGAAGUAGUACACUGAUGCCUCAUAACCUUUUCCAAAAGCUGCAAUCACCUCUCCCAAAGCAUCUGCCUCCUCAGGGGGGUGUGUGGUACUCCCAAAAAUAGUACAAAGCAGGUGGCGCAAUUGUAAAUACCUAUAAAACUGAGGUCUGGGGAUCCCAAAAUGUUGGACCAAGUUUUCAAACGAUCUCAACACUCCACUUUCAUAUAGGUCACCGAGUGUAGCAACCCCCCUCACAAUCCACUCUGGCCAGCAGAAAGGGGACUUGUCAAUACAUAGUCUUGGGUUCUGCCAUAUGCUCGAGGCAACAUUUAAAUAAGUGUCCAAUUUAAACAAUCUGGACACUUUAGUCCAUACCGAGUGUAAAUCGAAAUAACGGGAUGUAACUUUUAUAUUUUUUAUGCUUAAGGAAAGAUACAACCUUCCUUAUUUUUAUAGGGUGCCCCAGUCCAUUAACAUUCCACAUGGAGAGAAACAUUUUACCUAUAUUAAAGUGUUACAUAUUGACAUGUAAAGAUAAAUUGUGUACCCAAGGCAAAAUUAUAUAGACCACUUUCAAAUCCUGAACAACCCACAGAACAGAAAAAAUAAAUGAAAAUGGGCUUGAACCCUGCACAUAAAAGUCCCAUCUGGCAUCCAUCCCCCGGAAAUCUGACAGUCAAUGCACGCUCACGAGAUUUUCCGCAACACUAUUGCUACCGGAUUUCUCAAGUCCGGUGUUUUUUUUUUCUCCUUGUUUUGUAUUUGUUUUUUUAACAUAAACCGUGCCAUUAAAUUGCACAAAAAUGUAUUCUAUAUAAUAAGCCCCAGUAAAUAAUCACAUCGAACCCACAAAAUGAACAAAUUAACUCAACAAUAUGUCAAUAAAGGGAGAAAGAGAAAAAAAAAAAAAAAAAAA
Molecule: RNA transcript, 17693 nt
Organism: Myxocyprinus asiaticus (Chinese sucker)
Lineage: Eukaryota; Metazoa; Chordata; Actinopteri; Cypriniformes; Catostomidae
Gene: stab1
Gene name: stabilin 1
Exons: 59
Source: RefSeq, a predicted model, not a curated record